RNAcentral lists this ribosomal RNA (483 nucleotides) under uncultured bacterium. RNAcentral's name for it is "partial 16S ribosomal RNA". It matches the Rfam family "Bacterial small subunit ribosomal RNA", at positions 30 to 507 of the family's 1533-position model. The record is from RNAcentral.
AUUGAACGCUGGCGGCAUGCUUUACACAUGCAAGUCGAACGGCAGCGCGGGCUUCGGCCUGGCGGCGAGUGGCGAACGGGUGAGUAAUACAUCGGACGUGCCCAGUAGUGGGGGAUAGCUCGGCGAAAGCCGGAUUAAUACCGCCUACGACCUUAGGGUGAAAGCGGGGGAUCUUCGGACCUCGCGCUAUUUGAGCGGCCGAUGGCAGAUUAGCUAGUUGGUGGGGUAAAGGCCUACCAAGGCGACGAUCUGUAGCUGGUCUGAGAGGACGACCAGCCACACUGGGACUGAGACACGGCCCAGACUCCUACGGGAGGCAGCAGUGGGGAAUUUUGGACAAUGGGCGAAAGCCUGAUCCAGCAAUGCCGCGUGUGUGAUGAAGGCCUUCGGGUUGUAAAGCACUUUUGGCGGGAACGAAAAGGACUGUGCCAAUACCACGGUUCGAUGACGGUACCCGCAGAAUAAGCACCGGCUAACUACGUG